UACGAAGGGGGCAAGCGUUGUUCGGAAUUACUGGGCGUAAAGGGCGCGUAGGCGGCUUAUCAAGUCAGGCGUGAAAUUCCCGGGCUCAACCUGGGGGCUGCGCUUGAUACUGAUUGGCUUGAAUGCGGGAGAGGAUAGUGGAAUUCCCAGUGUAGAGGUGAAAUUCGUAGAUAUUCGGAAGAACACCAGUGGCGAAGGCGGCUCACUGGCCCGGUACUGACGCUGAGGUGCGAAAGCGUGGGGAGCAAACAGG
This 253-nucleotide ribosomal RNA is filed under the name uncultured bacterium. Its description in RNAcentral is "partial 16S ribosomal RNA". It matches the Rfam family "Bacterial small subunit ribosomal RNA", at positions 524 to 776 of the family's 1533-position model. The record is from RNAcentral.